RNAcentral lists this ribosomal RNA (828 nucleotides) under Enterobacter cloacae. Its description in RNAcentral is "partial 23S ribosomal RNA". It matches the Rfam family "Bacterial large subunit ribosomal RNA", at positions 611 to 1438 of the family's 2925-position model. The record is from RNAcentral. Lineage: Bacteria; Pseudomonadati; Pseudomonadota; Gammaproteobacteria; Enterobacterales; Enterobacteriaceae.
UAUAAUGGGUCAGCGACUUAUAUUCUGUAGCAAGGUUAACCGUAUAGGGGAGCCGAAGGGAAACCGAGUCUUAACUGGGCGUUAAGUUGCAGGGUAUAGACCCGAAACCCGGUGAUCUAGCCAUGGGCAGGUUGAAGGUUGGGUAACACUAACUGGAGGACCGAACCGACUAAUGUUGAAAAAUUAGCGGAUGACCUGUGGCUGGGGGUGAAAGGCCAAUCAAACCGGGAGAUAGCUGGUUCUCCCCGAAAGCUAUUUAGGUAGCGCCUCGUGAACUCAUCUUCGGGGGUAGAGCACUGUUUCGGCUAGGGGGCCAUCCCGGCUUACCAACCCGAUGCAAACUACGAAUACCGAAGAAUGUUAUCACGGGAGACACACGGCGGGUGCUAACGUCCGUCGUGAAGAGGGAAACAACCCAGACCGCCAGCUAAGGUCCCAAAGUCAUGGUUAAGUGGGAAACGAUGUGGGAAGGCCCAGACAGCCAGGAUGUUGGCUUAGAAGCAGCCAUCAUUUAAAGAAAGCGUAAUAGCUCACUGGUCGAGUCGGCCUGCGCGGAAGAUGUAACGGGGCUAAACCAUGCACCGAAGCUGCGGCAGCGACGCUUAUGCGUUGUUGGGUAGGGGAGCGUUCUGUAAGCCGUUGAAGGUGGUCUGUGAGGGCUGCUGGAGGUAUCAGAAGUGCGAAUGCUGACAUAAGUAACGAUAAAGCGGGUGAAAAGCCCGCUCGCCGGAAGACCAAGGGUUCCUGUCCAACGUUAAUCGGGGCAGGGUGAGUCGACCCCUAAGGCGAGGCCGAAAGGCGUAGUCGAUGGGAAACAGGUUAAUAUUC